Long non-coding RNA from Lagopus muta (rock ptarmigan), 2815 nucleotides. RefSeq lists it as uncharacterized. NCBI's taxonomy places the organism in Eukaryota, Metazoa, Chordata, Aves, Galliformes, Phasianidae. The record is from RefSeq and is a predicted model, not a curated record. The transcript is spliced from 4 exons.
AUCUCUGCAUACCUGAGGUCUUCUGAAGCGUGGUGUGGAGAUGUUCCUCAUCAGCACAGGUGGUCUUCAUUCAUUGCCAAACCUAUGCAGCAACUUCCCUGUUUGGUUUCCUACAUCAGGUUGAGCCACCCUCCAAGGCUUUGGGCUCAUAGAAAAGAAGGAUUUUACCUCAGCAUCCUUGGUUUCACCCAUUUUCCCACUGAAGCAUCACUCUACAGGCUGCUGAGGAAUGCUGACCACCAUAGGGUUUGUGGGAAUGCAAUGCUGGGGAACCCGAUGAUGGGGCACCAAGGCAGGGCUGUGGCAGUAGCAGAGAUGUGCCCUCCCCUCGGCUGCCAAACACAGCCAGCAGCAGCCGGACCUGUCAGCCACCAGCAGCAGAUGUUCUCCUCCCACAUCCAGGCUAAUGAUUGGCAGAUGUUGCUUCCAGAGGAAACGAGGAUAUUUUCAGCAUCUCUCUCUAACAAGGGCUCAGACGGAGCCCCUGGGCAGCAGAGACUGCCUCUUGCUCAGACCCAGCACUCUGCAAAUUCCCUUUUCCAUCUUGCUCCAUCAGCUCUUGGAGGGUUCAAAGCCACCAGGGCUGGGAACUUUGUGCAAUGCCUUACAGCACUUCCUUUCCACGGGAUGGGGAAGGGACGAGUCUGCUCUGCUCCAGGUUUUGCUUUGUUCUUGACAGCAUCUCCAGCUGCACAUGAAGUCCGCUGCUAUUUCAAGGUCCCUCUCCUUCCCCUCCAUCCCCAGGGGCUUCUAGCUGAGCAGCAGAAUAGAAAACGACAGAUUAUUGCUGCAUCUCGCUGAGCCUCUCUCUCGCACGUAAAAGAUGGUCUGUUUUGCUCACAAGCAUUUUGAAAGGGAGUCAGCACAGGAAGGAACUGCACUUUUUCCAACCCUUUGUGCUUUUUGCUGCCCUGGUAUCUCCCCAGGAUGCCGCCUUGGCUGCGGUGCCCCAGGUCCCACUCAAGUCCCACACAUCCCCCUGGACAUUUCCUACCUAUUCCCCAGAGCCUGAGAGCAGCACAAAGAGCUGUGAGCCCUGGUAGCAUCCUGCUUGGUCUGCUUACCAGCUCUAAUCUUGCUUCUCAUUCAUACGUCUUAUUUAUUCCUCUUGGGUGACAACCAUCAAUCUGCAGCUGUGCUUCUUUUACCCUACACUUGGCAACCUUUUUUUGGCUGAAUGGGUGCAAGUUUACUUAGGCAGUUACGCUGCUGGAUGUGUAUUUACAGGGAUUCUUCAUUUCUACAUUUGAUUAUGUUGUGUUAUAGGGAAUGAUGCAUUUCUUUUUUGUGAGAGUCUUAUUAAUUUUAGACUCGCUACUUGCGUCGUGGUCCAUUUGGAUUGAAAUUGGUUUUCAAUUUAAAACAGCUAAAAACCAGCAUCAAAGAUGGCUUUUAUUAGUUAAAUAAAACCAUUUAAAACACGCUAACUACGGAGGAAAAUAGAAUCUUAUCUGAGCAAGCAUUUAGAACUGGUUUCCUAAACAAGAUAAGUGCUCUCUGCAAUGAGGGAGCUGAGUUCCUUGUACCAAACUUUCAUAUUCUGUAUGUUUUAAAAUGAAUGUAUUACAGUAGUUUUAUUCGCGGGUAGGGAAAGGAGAAUGAGGCUUUCCAGUUUUGGCUGGUGGGGCUGAGGUGGUGGGGAAUGCCAGAGCAGGUUUUGCACCCAAACAUCCCUUUUGCAGGGAGGAUCCUGGCAGGAGAGCUGCACACGUAGCACAGGUGCUCUUUGCUUUGCGCAGUGGAUUUUCCCUUCCAACCACACAAGCAGAAACCCAGCAUUACAGUGCAAUAGCCACAGCUGGCAGGCAGGCAGCCCAUCAUCUCUCUCAACGUAGAAAUUGUUAUUAUUUGUCUUGCCACAGCACCGAAUCCAGUCCAUAACUUGUCUCUCUCCCUCCUAGCAAGGGUAAUUUUUUCCUAUUUGCAGGUCCUAUCUGACAGUAAUUGGCCACCGCUGCCUGGCUGCUGUUUUCACUCUAACAAUACGGCACCAAAUAAAUGGCCCCGUGUUGCUAUCAGUGGUUUUCUGCCAGUGUGGGUCACGUUAUCUCGUGAAAAUGAAUUCUGCAGGCUGCACAUAAAGAGGGACAGUGCUACCCUAAUAAAAAAUGGGAAUCAUUAGCACCACGCUAAUGAAAACGUCCUGCUGGUGGGGAAGCUCUCAGCCUUUUUGGAGAGCCUGGGCAUGCCGAGCUGCAUUCCUAAAAGGCAGCAAUGCUGGAGCAGAGUGGGGGAAUUAUGUGGGUUUUCUAGGGGCUGCAGACCCUCUGAGCUUGGGGACCAAAGGCAUCAACAAUGCAUACCUGUGUGCUUUCAAUUCUCUGGCAACUGGCAGCGGUUUAAUGUGUAUGUAUCACCAGUGCAAUUUUAUGAGCUCUGGUCCCACUGGCAUCAUUUUAUUUUUUUUUUUAAAUCCCUUUUCCAGUGUAAUUGCUGUUUGUUUUGUCAUUUCUCAGUGGACAAUUACAGUUCAAAAACAAGAGAGCUUUUGAAGAUUGUAAGCGGAGGCUGUGGGCUUCAUUAAUGUGCCUUUAAUACACUGUGGAAACACACUUGAACUCACCUGCCCGAGGCCUCAGACGUGGGAAUCUGGCUCUGCAAAGCACUGAUUAUUUGAUCUAUUUAAAAUACUUCCAGUAUUAGCCUGGUCUCCUGGAUACAUUUCAACGUCAGCAGUUUGGGAGGCUGUAAUAUCUCUUCCAGGCCAUUCUGCCAUUCUCUAACUUGUAGGAAAUGGAGCCUCAGUGUUGGAAAUGCCACUGUUUGAGUCACCUGGUCUCUUUUUGACACCUACUUGUGACCGAUUUGGGAAUAA